CCUUGCGAAAGUAAGACUAAUACCCUAUGAAGUUCUUCGCAGGCAUCUAAAGAGACGAAAGAUCCGUCGCUUGCGGAUGGGGAUGCGUCUGAUUAGUUAGUCGGCGGGGUAACGGCCCACCGAGACGACGAUCAUAGGGGUUCUGAGAGGAAAGUCCCCCACAUUGGAACUGAGACACGGUCCAAACUCCUACGGGAGGCAGCAGUGAGGAAUAUUGGUCAAUGGGCGGAAGCCUGAACCAGCCAAGUAGCGUGCAGGACGACGGCCCUAUGGGUUGUAAACUGCUUUUAUGCGGGGAUAAAGUGGGCCACGUGUGGCCUUUGCAGGUACCGCAUGAAUAAGGACCGGCUAAUUCCGUG
Molecule: ribosomal RNA, 359 nt
Filed under: uncultured bacterium
Lineage: Bacteria
Description: bacterial SSU rRNA
Rfam family: Bacterial small subunit ribosomal RNA
Source: RNAcentral